GUUUGCGAAAAAGUUGUCUUUUUGGAAAUAAUUUUAAGCCAUUUUUUUCAAAUUGGUAUUCUUCUCCAGGGGAAAAAGCCUGUAUUCUCUAUUAACUUAAGGCACACAAUUUCACUGCAUGUAUUUAGUCCAGGUAACAGUUUUUCACUAGAGACUAUUUGAUGUGAAUAGUGUGAAAGCAUGGAUCUUGACAUUGGUGUUUUGUUUAAAUUAGGCCACGAUUUUUUAAUUUGUUGGUUUACGGAUCCGCCGACCCGAUUUUGCCGAUUUCCAGAAUAAAAAUAAAAUCACUUUUUCAUGCUUUUUUUUUUAUUUCCGCCGACCCUAACAAGUGCAUUAUCCCUGAAAAAUAAUUAAAAUAUUCUGUUUUUUUAUGAAAUGAAAUGCUUU
Molecule: long non-coding RNA, 390 nt
Filed under: Mytilus galloprovincialis (Mediterranean mussel)
Lineage: Eukaryota; Metazoa; Mollusca; Bivalvia; Mytilida; Mytilidae
Source: RNAcentral